This is a long non-coding RNA of Corvus hawaiiensis (hawaiian crow), 5647 nucleotides long. RefSeq lists it as uncharacterized. The transcript is spliced from 4 exons. The record is from RefSeq and is a predicted model, not a curated record. Lineage: Eukaryota; Metazoa; Chordata; Aves; Passeriformes; Corvidae.
CACUUUUAUUUUUCCUACUGGUGGUACUUCAGAAUCCUGGCAUCUCACUCAUUGUGGCUGGGGAGUGAGGACCUUUCAUACAUCAUAAAUGUUGGCGUUUAACUAGAGGUAUUAAGAAACAACAGUUUCCAGCUUGGCGGGAGUAAAUGCGUCCAAAACCAGAUGUUUGUUGUGAAGAAAUGAGGUUCUUGUACCCACAGCUCAUGUUCACCAGGCUGUCAUGCCAUUCUUUCUGCAUGGCCAAGGAAACUUAGUCAUUGUGGUUUUUGACCAGUAAGUUGCAUCCUUGCAGAGUCUUAAGUAACUUUUGCAGCCACUGGAACAUCCCUGCAGUACUAUAACAGCAUGAAAGUUGCUUGCCUGUUACACUUCGGAGGAGACACAUGGGUUGGCCAUGUCUGGUUUGCUCAGUGCUGGAGAAGACAGUGACAAGGGACAAAGCUGGAUGAGUCACUCCCAUGACCUGCAGUUCCUUCCCAGCUGCCCUUUUUCCUAUGGGAGUUUUCUUCAUGUGACUGGAAGCACAUCUGCCACGGGACCAAAACACAGACACUUUAAUCAUGAGGCAGGUGGGCUGCAGGGCAGCUGGUGAUGAGCCAGUGGGUGUUUGUGUGUCGCAGCCCACGUUGAGAUGAAUACCUGCUUUGUAAUAAACCCCUGGAAGUCUGUAAUGUGACAUGGAGAAAUGGAAGUGUCUGCCCUGCAUGGUUCAUCCAGAUUACAUGGAGCUUGCUUUCCAAGGGAUAAGCAUCCCUUAAUCUCAGCUGGAGACCACAUUGCAGCCCAAAUAAUCUUCUGCCAAAAGUGGAUGUGUUUUUUGAACGUUGGAGGUACUGUGAAUUCUUCAAAAGCCUUGGCACAGCUGUAGCAAACUACUUAAUUUCUUUUGUGGCUUAUUUCUUCUUUGAGCAGGAAGGUACUAAUUAAUGUUUGGCACACUCAUUCUUUUGCUUCCCAGUGUACUAAUAGUACCUUUCCCCCCUCCAAAUUCACAAAAAACAUGCGUAUUCCUGGCUUCCAUGAACUUCAUUGUUCUAUUGAGAACGAACACAGACCUUUAUUUUGUGACGUAUUCACGGUUCAGUUGCUCUUAGAGAAAUAAAUAAAUAAAUAAAUAACGCUCUCAUUAGAUUUUUCUAAGAGAUAAGAUACCAUAAAAAUCAGUAAACAUAGUAAUACCGCAUUUGUGUGCUCUUAUCUCCUCAAUAAAUAUGAAGGAGUUUAAACAUCUGUAAGAAACUGGAGUUUUUAACCAUGUAGGAAUAAGAUACUGAAUGAAUGAACUGAGUGUUUGAAUGUUAUGUUCUAGUUUUCUACAAAGUAGCAUCUCUGUAACUACAGAUGUAUAUAAAUAUUUGUUUUUUCAGGAGUAAAGGCAUUAAUUUUGUUGGGUAUGUCUUAACUACGUUUUUGAUUCAUACACAUUUGGUCUUAUAACUAAUCUGAUUUUCAACCUCCAUUGACAGGCCAAGUCACCAUUUACUCCAUGAGCUUAAUAUGUAAAGCCAUGUUCAGCAGUGUCUGGGAAACACUUGACCAUAGGAGUUAUGAGUACCAUCAGAAAGGCUCCAUGGAAUGAUGGUUUUGGAUCCAUUAUAUCCCUCGAGGGUAUACAGAAAACAAGGCAGGGACAACUAACUAAAUAUGGUUAAAAUAAUAUGGCCUCAUUUCUUCUGUGAAGAUGGUCUAGCUGUGCAAUUAGGAACAAAUAGGUAGUGACAUUACCUAUGAGACCAAAACUAUGGUUUCACAGUAUCCCCUAAACCCAUGUAACAGAAAAAUAUUAUUGCAAAUACCAUAUAUACAUAUAGAGAGUGCAUAUAUGGAGAGUGCAUAUAUAUUACCUGUAUAGAGAGGGCACAUAUGUAUGUCUAGUAAUGUUCCUAGAUUAACAGGUCAUUAUUAGUUCAUUAACUAUAGUUUUGUGUUUAUAGUUGUCUCUAAUACCAUUUCUCAAAACAUUUUUCUUACUUUUAAUAUCUGUGCCAUUCCAUUAUUUAUUUUGCCUAUUGUGAAGCUGGUUAGAAAAUUAUAAUAACUCUAUAAACCAUAUCUGGGUAGUUUUUUAAAAUACUUGUUUGUGGAGCGGCAUCAGACAAUAAAACAAAAUUAUAUUCUCCGUUUGUGUGCAAACAGACAAGUUUAUAUAUAUAUAUAUGUAUAUAUGUAAAAAAACAACUUUGAACUUCAUUAAGACAUCACAUCCCCUUCGUGGAACUUUUUUUUUCCUUUCUACAAGUAUUAUGAUUUUUUCCAAGAUCCUGAAAUUCUGUUAAUUUCUCCUUUAUAGGUAGACUUUAAUUCUUUCUUAUGCAAGCCAAACCCAUUUUUCAUUAAGUGACUUUAAUUUAUAAAUUUCAAAUUGAAGUAAUUAUUUUCAAUGAACUUCCCUAAGCUGAACUGAAGUAAUCACAAAACCUUUAGUGAAUGGGAAGGAAGGCAAAAAUUUAGGCCUCACCUAAACACCAAAAUCUGAUUCUUAAUUUGUGUGUGUUUCUAAAUUGAUUAUUGGGGAUAUUGAAGGUGAUCUGUUAAGGGAACACUGUGGUGAUGUUUUCCUGUGUGACAAGGAAAGGCUCACCAGAGCAUGGUUGGUUAUGAUGGACAGGCUCACUGAUACUUAUUGGAAGCAUAAAAGGGACAACGUGGUUAAAGAGAAUGCAGGGAUAUCAAUGUUUAACCUGGUGACUGUGUUACAGUGUAAAAAUAGCUGGCUACACUUAAACCAGCUGCAGGAGCCUGGAGCUCAGUGACAUCAAUUAGUUUACUUUCCUAAUGAGCUUGCAAUGCUGAGGUACCUGCGUCACUUUAUUUCAAGGCCAGCUUUAGUUUGCUUUCCUGGAGAGUGGAAACUGAAAGCAGUAGCAAGAAAAGAUGCUGUUACAUGGUUCUAAGCCAAACAGAAAUCCAAUUUUGACUCUGGCCUAUUCUAACUGCUCAUUAAGUUCAAGCAGUUUCCACUUCAGUGGCCCAUACAUGUUGAGUACUUGAUAAUCAGCUCUGUGACUGAGCUAGGUAAUUACUGAAGCAGUGAUUUUAGGGUUGGGGAUUUUAAUUUCUGUGAAUAUUUUUUGCUGUGAAAUAGUCUACUGCAUAAUGAAUUUUGGCAUGGCCAUAUUACAUUUUCUCUCAUAAAUUUUCUUUCACAUAUUUUUAGGAUCACUCCUAGUACUUUCAGGAGUUUACGAAAGAUUACGGUCUCCUUUAUUUCAGCAAAAUCAAACAGCAUUUAGUAGACACAGGAAAUAAUCAAUCAGUCAAUCCAGCUUCUGUUUUUGAAAUGUAGGUAACUGUGUAGCAGGUUUAUUUGUGUGUUUGUAUGUAUCAUUACCACUCUCUUCUGUAAGCUGUAGGAGCUAUCAGUGGUAUCCUUGUGUAACACUGGCUAGAUAUUCUUCCUCAUUCCUGUUAAAUUCAGGGAUUUAACAGAGUAUGGCAUUUAACUUACACUAAACCUAAAAAAAUUGUCAGCUAAAAAUGUCUAUUUCAAAUUAUGCUAAAUGACAAUGAAUUUCUGACAUUAAUAAUGAAGUUUUGAAUAUAGGUAUUACCUUGCUUUAAAAUCCAUAGGUCAUGUCAUAGCUGCAGGCAGCACACAGACAGCUACAAUGCUCUGUUCCUUUAACUGCUUUCAUUAAAUAUUUCUGAAAUUAAUUUGAAAUAUUUUAUAAUAUAUUGAAGUUAAGAGGUGAUUAUGGAUAACCUUGUGCCUGUAGUUUCAUAGUAAAUGAACUUAAAAUCGUCCAUAGCAAAGCAUAGAUAAAUUUGAUUUAUACUGAUAAAACAACUCCUUCCAUUAUCGAAGAUAAAGCAGGGUGACAAGCUGGGAAGUCAAUAUUGAUUUACCAGUAUAUGAAAAUAACAAUAAAAUAAUUUUUACAAGAUUGAUUGUUGUCAGUCAUUCUGUGUUUACAGGCAUUGCUGAUAGUAAAAGUUGAAAGAAAUUGUAAUUUUUUAAAUAGAAAAAUAAUUCUUCACAUUUUCUCAAGACUGUUUUGAUGUAGCCAAGUAUUUAUUUCCUCCCACAGAUUUAAAUAUUACAAUUUAAUAGCUUCUUCUUUUUGAUACACACCAUUAGACCCUUUCACAGAAGUAACUUGUCACUGUAUAUUUAAAUCAUGAAUCAGCAAGUCCCAUAGGAGAAAUGAGCCUCUCUAAUGGGAUACUUCUUAUCCAUUUUUGGCUUGUCUGAUAUUCUAUGUAUCCAAAUUAACAUAAUAAGAUUUAAAUUCACACAACAGAUGCAUCAUGAAAGUACAUACAUGUGUGUUUAUAUUGGGCACACAAAUGUUUUGGGAGAUCCUCCAGUAAUUUCAUUAUUGAGUUACACAAUAGAUACAGGUUUAGCCAGAUGUCUAAAUCAUCCAUAUCCUGUCACAUAGGAUAAUCUACAAGAGUAGUUCUAAUAAACUGAUUUUAAUGCAAACACUAUGUUUUCAGACAUUUUCACAUUAGACAUAAUUUCCUAGAAUGUAAUUAUUUUUCCAUUAUCUAUUGCAGAAAAUACAUCAACCAUACUGCUUAGCUUUGCUUAGUUGGCAUAGCCAUCAUUAAAUCUUUGAUUAUUUUCAUGACUAUACAAAGUCUUUUCCUUGAUGAAUCCUUUGAAACGCACUUAAACUAAUAACUGAUUUUCCUAGAAAAAAUAGUUCUUGCCUUUUCCAAAAUAGCAACAAUUUUAAGCCUUUAAGAAACUACAAGAAGGAAUUUCAGCCUUUGACUUAAAGCAUGAAAGGAUAAGUAGUGUUAUGAGAAGGUACAAAGUCAACUGAUCAGCAAAAUAGACCUGCUCUGUUCAAAAUUAGACAACCUGAACAUGGUUAGAAGGAAAGUAGUACCCAGUAAGUAGAGGUAGAGAAUGGAAGGGAUGAAAAGUGCUCAGUUCCUUUAUUUGUUUUAAAUGGGAGGGAAUAUGGGUGUGGAACACUGCUGCAGUCAGGAGGAUUUUAGCCAUAGAUAAUACAAAUGUGGUCAUGAUUUUUCCUUUUUUAAGGAGUGAUUCUGAAUCCAGAAGAUUACAGACUGGGCUGUGAAUGCUUUUGUCACCUAUUCCUGAAUAUUCCCAAGUUCUUCCUAUCAGGCAUAACAGCGGAAAGUUUCUUUCACAUUUUUACCUGUCAGUCUGCAGCAUGGUUGUAUAACACGGCAAAGCAUCAUUAAACAUUUUGGUGAACUGUUUUGUAUUUCAAGACUUUUAUUAUGGAUAAAAGGAAUAUUAAAAAGAAGUAACUGUGGUAAAGUAAAAAAAAAGGACUCUGCAGUGAUUUGGAAUUCUAGAGCAGAGAAUUAGUCUUCCAAACAGAAUCCAAUUCACUGGGGACAAGGAAUCUAUGGACUCUGAUUUCAGCUGUUCAGAAUUUUCAACUGGCUUAGCAAAAUCUUGAGGCAAGUCAGUUCUUCCUCUUAAAAGGCUUUGCUGCCACACUGUGGAAAAAACAUUUAUUCUGUUUUAACUGUUUUACUGUUACAAAUAGCACAUCAGCUGAGUUCCUAUCUCUCCCCAGCAUACAAUCCACCCUGCAGAAAAGACUGCCAAAGAACUGUAAAAUAAAAAUACCGUGGUGGGAUAGUUAACAAUCUAGUUUCAGUUUCAGCUUUGACCUUAGUUGCAUAUUCUAAGGCAGGAAAACAAUGGUAAUAACAUGAA